GCUUAUCACCAUUCCAGAUUGAAUAUACCCGAUCUCGUCUGAUCUCGGAAGUCAAGCAAU
This is a non-coding RNA of Ciona savignyi (Pacific transparent sea squirt), 60 nucleotides long. The record is from Rfam. Lineage: Eukaryota; Metazoa; Chordata; Ascidiacea; Phlebobranchia; Cionidae.